AAUUUGAGAUUGAUUUAAACAGGGACCAUGUAUGACCAAUAAUGUUCAAUAUCAUUGUGCACCCAC
RNAcentral lists this ribosomal RNA (66 nucleotides) under Trichostrongylus axei. Its description in RNAcentral is "partial 28S ribosomal RNA". The record is from RNAcentral. Lineage: Eukaryota; Metazoa; Nematoda; Chromadorea; Rhabditida; Trichostrongylidae.